Molecule: long non-coding RNA, 9260 nt
Filed under: Homo sapiens (human)
Lineage: Eukaryota; Metazoa; Chordata; Mammalia; Primates; Hominidae
Description: HSALNT0312050
Source: RNAcentral
AAUGGAAACAGGAGAGGAAGAAUGUCCUAGUGAUGUUUACAAACUAAAUGAUUGGGAGGAUGGAGAAGACAUUAACAGGACUGGCCCAGCUAGGAGGGAGAGAUAUUGAGCAAGAGGUAGAUGGGGCAAUAAUAAGGUAGAUUUGGGAGAUAUCAAAUGAGGAGUUUGGUAGUGCCCACAUGGAAUUGACCAGCAGGCAGUAGGAAAAAUAGGACAUGACUUAAGAGAGAAGAGCAGUCUAAAAAUCUAGCAAUAAUCACAUAUAGAUGGUUAUUAAAGUAACUCAAUUAGGCAUAAUCACUUUGGAGAGUGUUGAGAAAGAAGAAAUUCCAGGAAAAAUUAACCCACAUUUAGGUGUUGGAUCAAGAAAAAACAGCCAGAGGAAAAGACAGAGGGAAGGCAGAGGGUACGGGAGAUUGCUAUUGCUGUGUAAUACAUUACCACAAAUGUAGUGGCUUAAAGCCACAGAAAUUUAUUGUCUCACCAUUUUCAUGGGCUGGAAUAUUUAGGCUGGAACAUGGCAUAUUUUAGCUGGGGUCCUCAGCUAAAGGUCCUGGAAGGCUGAAAUCAAGGUGUCAGUUGACUGUGCUCUUAUCUGGAGGCUUGCUUGACUAGGGAAAUACCCAGUUCCGAGCUGUCUCCUGUUGGCAGAAUCUGUUUCCUUGUGAUUGUAGGACUGGGGCACCCAUUAUCUUUCGGCUACUGCGCAGCGUUCAUUCUCAGCUCCUAGAAGCUGCUCUCAGGUCUCCGCCACAUGGCUAUCUCUUGAAGCCCUCUCACAACUUGAGAGCUUUCUCCUUCAUGGCCAGCAGUAGAAUUUCUUUUAGGCUUUGAAUUAUUUCUUCCUUUAGGAAGAAAAAAAAGCCUCAGCCCCUUAAAAUGGCUCACCUGAAUAGGUCAGGCCCACCCAAGAUAAUUUCCCUUUUGAUUAACUCAAAGUCAAUUGAUUUUGGCAUCCUAAUUACAUCCGAGAAAUCCCCUUACCUUUGUUGUAUAACAUAACCUAGUCACAGAAGUGUACUCCGUCUUACCCAAGUGUUGCCCAUACUUAAGAGGGAGGAAUUAUAUGGGUUACAUAUACCAGAGGCAAGAAUCUUGAGGGACAUCUCAGAAGUCUGCUGACCAAAAGUCGUAGAGAGCACUGUCUAGUAAAGCAAUUUAAUUGAACAUGCUACUGCAUGCCAAGAGAUGUAGGUAUGAGGAAGAGCAGUCCUUACUUCUCGAAGCCAAAAUUCUGAUGGCAAUGACAGAGCCUAGGAAGUAGAAAAUUGUGAUGAUCAAACGGUGAAUAAUUUGUAAUGUUCUAGAGAGGGUGUUGACUAAGGAGAAAUGGGAGUUGGAUUUAGAUUUUAGGGUUUUUGUAGUGCUUUCUGUAGAAUGGUAGGGGUUGGAGUCAGGUUUUGAGCUAUAAGGGAAUGAAUGAAUGUGAGCAGUGAUAAAUAGAUGCAUAUGUAGAAGAGUCUAACAUUUUUUACAGGGAGUUUACAAAGUAGAGACUAUUUAUCAUUUUUAAUCUUUAGUAUGGUCUAGACCUAAGAAUGUUUGUAGCAGUAGGGAGGGAAUUCGUGGGAAGGGGAAAAUGAACAUGAUAUCAUCCGUCACUGCUUAAACCGUCCUAGGACUUUGGGAGACUUUAGAGCAAUGGAGAUCUUUCUCUUCUUUCAAUUGUAUUUUGCCCAUUUAAUACUUCCAUGGCAAUUAUUGUAUGCCAGGCCUUAUUUGCAAGCACUUGGCAAGUAUUCACUCACUUAAUUUUUACAAUCAUCAUGUGAGUCAGGUUCUAUUUUAUUCCUGCUGAAAGACUCAUAACUAGUCCAAGGUCAAUGAGCUUAUAAGUGGUAGAGUUGAGAUUCAAAUCCAGGAAGUCUGGCUCUGGAGCCCAGGCUCUUGACCAUUGCAUUAAUACAAAUGCUCUUUUCUACAUGGUUCUGUUGGUCAUGACUUGUGUGAGGCCUUGUGACACCCCUUGUAUUGUUAUUGCUGUGCACAUAAAUUCUCUGCAUAUUACAUAUCAAUUCCCCAGCCAGGUGGUGAGCUGCUCAGAGACAAGGACAUAUUUCCAUAACACUUUUCCUUCUUCAUGGCAUCUUAUAUGGGAUGGCUAUCAAUAAAUAUAUAUUGAUUUGAUUUAAGCUGGGAUCCUAUCAUUUACUUUACUUCCUCAUUUCCUUUAAUCUCUAUUGAUUAUAAAAUUAAUUGGGUGGUGUGUAAUUCUGAUUUAACUACUUAGCCUGUAACUAUAAUUUUUAUGACUUUUAACAUCAUGAUAAAUCUGUGACCUUUUUGAGGAGUUUCUUGCUUUAUAAAAUUUUUCACUUUUAAAAAGUGGAUGAAUACAUCAUAGUUCUGAGAACUAUUUUCUAUAAGGAAAAAAGGGAUGCUUCCCUGUUGGCCCUUUGGGUUGUGUUAAAAUCUUCAUUUUCUUUUUUUAACUGCUAGGUUCAGGGGUACAUGUGCAGGUUGGCUAUAUAGUUAAAUUGUGUAUCAUAAGGGUUUAGUGUACAGAUUACUUCACCAUCCAGGUAAUGAUUUCACAUUUGAAUGAUGGAGGCCCAGGGUGGGAGAGAAUCAUGGAGUUGAGUAGAAUUUACUGAACAUUGGAGAGAAAGAUCAUCUUUGGCAGUGGUCUUGGCUUUAUCUCCUUCUGGUUUUUAAUUUUUGUCUUUGUAAAGAAUUAAACAAAAUCAUUGCUUCUCUAUUAGUGCCAACCACAGUUCAUAAUUGAGCCAAGUGGCCAUUUCCAUCUGAAUAGUCAGCCCUGUAUUCACUUCCACUGCAGGAUGACAUUUCCCAUCCCCUCCUGUAGGAGGGUGCUUCAGAUAGUUGCAGUGGGUUCCUGAUAGGGAUGUGUUGCAACCAUCCUCCCUUGAUCCAUGUGUUUCUACCACCUAGGAAGGCACGUUCAGCUAAUGUGGUUUUUACUUGCCUACCUGUGUCUCAGAAAGGCUCCCAAUUUGCCCCACGCUUAUUGCAAAAGUAUGUGCCAUAAUGUUAAAGGGAAGAUAGGAUUAAAAUCCCUUUUUGAUUUAUUAAUCCAUGCAGAAGGUGACUACUGAUAAAAACUUCAGAGCCUGUGGAUCAGUUAUUUUUGUUUGAUCAUCUAUAUGCACUACAGAUAAAGAAAACAAACCUCAUUGUUAGAAAUGACACCCCACAAUGGGGGUUGGAUUUUAUAGCAUUUUUUUUUCUUUUCACAAUGCUACAUUAAAAGUUGCUCUUCUAUGUUCUUCUUCAAAGCACUUGUACCUGAGGUAAGCAUCAAGAUAUUUAUCCCCUGCUGACUCUUCAGCUACAUUUGAUCAACAACAAAGAGAAGACAGCUAAUUUUAUCUUUCUUCCAUGUAUUUUGGGCAUGUUUGUGUGUGUGUGGGUGUGAAAUGCACAAUGCAUGUGUGAGUGAGUGUGUGGAGUGCAUCAGAGCACAAGAGAUUGUGACUGAUUGGAAACCAAAGCUUUAGGAUGUAGAAGUUUAAAGAUGACCAGACAGGACAGAGUGGAGAUGCAUUUCUGACUUUAGCUUUGUAAGCUCUUCAAGAAAUACAUUUUGUUUACUUUUGUUUCUCUUUGAAAAGCAGUCUUUAUCUCCCUGUAUCUAAGAGCUUUGAGAUGUAUGUGAGUUCAUUUUCUAAUAAUCUCAAAACAUGUUCUCCGAUAUUAGCCAGUAUUUUCCCCAGACUGCUCUCUGUAUUGAGACGCAGGGUAGUCUAGUGGCUAAGAGCACUGACCUUCUGUUCAAACCUUGGCUUACAGCUGUGUAACUUUGGGCCAAGUGAUUUAACCUCUCUGAACUUCAGCGUUCUCAUCAGUAAAAUCAGUGUUCUCAUCAGUAAAAUAAAAGUAGUAAUCACCAUUGUAGGGAUAUUAUAGGGUUAAAGGAGUUAAUGUUUUCAAAGUGCUUGGAAUAAAGACCUGCUACACAAAUGGUUCCAUGUAAGUGUUUACCUUUAUCACUAUAGUUACUGUAGUACAAUUAUAAUCUAGGAUAAAAGCAGAAAGAAGUACAACAUAAAUUGUUAUACUAUCAGUGUUUUAGUAGCUGUAUUACUUUUGGGAAAGAAUGAAGAGAAAAGGUGGGGGAAAUGAUUUUGUUAUGGUAUUAGGAAAACUACACUUAAAAAAUUGAAACAAAUAUUUGCUGCAAGAAGUUAGCUAGGGGCACUGUAUUUCCUCAUCCUGCCCUGAAAAGCCACAUUAGUGUGGUAGUUUCAGGUGUGCUAAUGGUCAGCUGCAUUACUUAGCUGCACCAGGACUGGUAGAAGGAGUUGGGGUGAGUAGCUUUAACAAUUUUUGAAUAUUAUUGCGCCAUUGCCUUAAAUGCCUGAGAAGUAUGUUAGACCUUAAUACAUAAGAAAUUAGAAAAUGUCAUUCUUAAACUUUAAGAAUUAUUAGGGGAAACAUUACUAAACAUUUAGUUUAGGCUGUUCUUUAAACACAUCAUCUCUAUGAAGUCUAAGAUAUCUCAUUCAUAUCAAUCAGAAAAAAACCUCACUAAUUUUCACAUAUUCUCCUGAUAAUUAUAUAAGCAUGCUUUAGACAAGCUGUUGAGAAAGCACUGUUUCUCACGCUCUGUUUUUGACUGGGUAUGUUGGUUAUAAUGUUUUAUGUCAUACUCAGAAAACCCAUUGUAGAAAGUUCAACUGUGAAAGGAAUUUGUUUUGGAUCAUUAAAAAGUCUGAAUGUAAUGUGGGCUUCAGGGUUGGUUGAUUCACCAGUGCAGUGAAAUCUGAAUUCUCUUUGUCUCUCUACUCUACCAUCUAUACUCUACUCUACUCAAGGACCUGAAUUCUGUCUCUCUACUCUACCAUCUAUAGUGCUUAAUUCACUUGAGGCUGGUCCCUCGCUUUGCCAUGAGAGGCUGCUGGUGGCAAUUGAGGCUGCCUGUUCCGUUGGGUAUGUCUAGGGGAAUGAGAACUUCUAUAACCAUAUUCUGUCCCAUUCUAAUAUUUCUUUUUAAUAUUUGGAGUUUGUGAUAGAAUUUUCAUUACAAAAAGAUCACCCAGGCUGCUAUUUGUGGAAGAGAUUAGGGGAGAAGAGUGGUGUGUCCCAGAGACUUAAGUCUUUUUUCUCCAUUACGAAAUGAAAGCCAUUUUUAUGUCUAACACCUCACUCGGGAAAGGCAUGCCAGCUUCAAUCUUAGUUACUGCAACUGUCUUUUUAAGUUACCCUUGAGUUUAUGUAAAUCAGAAUUGAUUGUCCUUCAACAAUAGCAAUAACAACAACAAAAAAGAAUGUUGUAAAGAACAAGAAAAUAUUGAUUCUUUUUAGGUAUGUAAAAUGUGAUAAGGUAUGAGAAGAGCUUCAAAAACCUUAGACUAGUCAUGAAAGGAAAAAGCAUUGAAGUCUAUGCCCUGUUUGGGUACACAUAGACACUUUGUGUCCAUGCUGCUUGAUUCCAAGCAUUGCAGGGCUGGCUAUACAACUGAUUCUUUUGCACAACUGCUUAUACCUAACAGCUUUAUUGGCUGUUCUCACCUUAUGUGUCACACUUCUGUGUGCAAAUCUUUGGAAUAUUUCCAUAUGACUCUCCAGUAUUUGGACUUUGGGACAUACGAUAAAGCAAACAUUUGAAACCUGGAGUCAUAUGGGGGCACUCAAAAAAUCUGCUGCUUAUAAGCAAGGAUAACCAGGCUGAGAUUUUGAUGGACAAAAUUGACAGCUGGUCAGAAAUUUUAAAAUGCAGAGGCAUUUAAGAUGUCAGAAUAUGCCCUCACACUGCCUAAGAGCUCUCCAAUAUGUCCUUUUAGCUCACCCUCUAAAAAUCAAUCUCUAAUCUUUUACCUUUGCCUCUACAACCUUGCUGCAGGCUGAUAGCGCCUUGCCAGUGGAGUUUUGCAAUGGCCCCUGAACAAGUCUCUCUGCUUCCGUUGGAAGUAUGCAUUUUCCAUACUCAUCACAUACAUACCACAUUCUAUACAACAAAAGCUGUAUUUUCCCAAUUCUCAACAUAAAAAUAAUAGAACAGAAUGUCCUGUUUCAAGUUUUCCACCUUAAUAUUUUCUUAACAAGAAAAGCAAAUUGAUAUUAAUAGGGAAAAAUUGGAGAAAGUUAAGGUCAAACCUUUAAUUUUUCUGGGUGGUACUGAGAUUUUAUUAUAAUAAUGCUUUAUGUAAUAAAUAUCAUAAUACUUCUAUAGUAUUAAAUGGAAUACCUAACAAAAUAAAAUAAUACUUUAUAGCAUAAUUGCAUAUAUCAGCAUCAUGAUUUUCUCCUAGUAAAAAUGUUUUCAGUUCAUGGAUGAAAUUUAAUGUCAGUUUUUAGCAGUGUUUGGAAAAAUAAUUAAAAUUUCUGGGUCUCACCAUCUGAAAUGAUCUGAAAACAUCUGUGCUAUUGGAAUUGAACCCAAGUAUGCUAAAAUGUUUAUCGAUUGAACUAAAUUUCAAUCGAUAAACAUGCGAGUCUGUGAGCUGGAAGUGCCUUUUCUAGGAUGGGGUUCAGAAUCCAGGGAGGGAAUGAGAUUAGAUACAGUAAAUCAGUGAAACCAGACCAAACCUGGCAGCUAAACAGUUGAAGUGGAGCAAAACAGAAUGUGGAGUUAAAGCAGCAGAAGUCAAGCCAUAAAGCAAAGAUGGAUAGAGGCAGUAGAAAUAAAUGGGUCCCAAACCACUGAGCAAUAUUUCCAAAAUGCCAAUGAAGAAAAGCAGUUUUUCUAGCCAUCUCAUCAAAACUGUCUUCGGCCAAAGCUUUAUUCUCUCUUUAGAAAAAAAAAAAAAAAAAGUAGUGGGAGAAAUCUUAGUUCUUUACAGAGGUAAUUGUGAUAACUGGUGAGGAGGAGAUAAAGACGAGAAAGUUAGAAUUUGAAAGCAAGAGAGGCCAGGAAGAGAAAUGAUGGUAAUACGAUGUGGGGUGGAGAGAUGGAAGGCAAGCCAGAAACAAAGAUGUAUGAAAGCAUGUAUUUUCCUAAACAGACUUUCAUUAUGUGUGUUGGACAGUAAGCAAAUGCAAACACUGAGCUAGGUGAAGCAGCAUUUAUAACACACAUGACAAACCAAUACUUAAACCAUUUAAAUACCAAGACACUCCAUGCAAGUUUUUUGAAAGUGAACCACAUGAAAACUGGGCAAUGAUUAUGAAUGAGCAGUUUGCCAGAGAGAAAUAGCCAGUAAAAAGGAAAAGUUAAUCUCAGAGAAUUGCUAAGUAAAAUAAGAUAGAUUUUUUUCCCCUGGGAUGUAGGCACAACUUAAUAAUAUAUGACAUCCAAUGCUGUUAGAAUGUGGAGAAAUGCUAGGAGCUAUAUAUAUUGCUUAGCAGUUUGGCUGUAUCAUUUUAAAUAAAAAAAAUACACAUAGCCUUUAACACAGUAAUCUCUUUGUGAAUUAUUCUGUAUAGAUAAAAAUAUAUAUACAAAAUUAUUUAUUGCAGCAUUGUUCACAGUGGCAAAAAAAUGAAAACAAAGAAUUUUGAUCACUUGAGACUAGUUGAAUGAACUGUGUUAUACAUGCUAUGGAUGAUUAUUAGGUCAUUAAGAAUUAGAAUGUAUAUCUGCUAUGGAUGAUUGCACAUGAUAUAUUGUAAAGUUAGCAAAGCAAGUUACAGGAAAUAUGCAAAGCAUGAUGGCCUUCAGUAAAAAAGCCUUUAUAUUUGUGAUUUUAGGUGUAUAUUUACGCACAAUGAAAGGUAUUCAAUUAAAACACAUCAGACUUAACAUUUUGAGUGGUCUGGGAAGAGAGAAUAAGAAAUAAAGCAAGAUUCAGAAUUGUCUAGACCCCUUGACCCAGAACCUUUAGUUAUGUACAUUUAUAAGGACUAGAAGGAUGUAGAAUAGACUUUUGACAUCUGUAGUGGGAUUAUGAAUGGUUUUAUCUUUGUUUAUUUCAUUUUUUGGUCUUUGUUUUUCUAAAAUUGACAUGAAUUCUCUAAGUGGUAAAAGCCAAAUUUAUUUCAAAACGAAGAAAAAGUAUAGAUGAUAUUAUGCCCAUUUUACCCAUUAAGAAACUGAACCUAAUUGAUACCUUUUUAAAGAUUCCAGCUAGUAAAUAGCAGAGAUGUGCUUGAAGCCCUUAGGUUUCAUCAAAGUGACAGCAACUUAUAGAUCAAUAAGAAAAGACAAUUAAAAGUAAGAAAUUAGAGAAAGACGGAACUCUUAGCAAAAAGAAUACUGGAGGAAAAUACACACCACACAUGUGCUAAUGGAAAUGUCAGCCAAGAGCAAAAGUCAAUGAGCCCACCUCACCCCUAGCAUUAAACUGCAUUGAGAAUUGUUAGAAACAAGGGCAUGUUGGAGCCCCUUGAUUUGUAACAGAGUGAAAAGCUUUCAGAAAUGUAAAAAACAAUUAUUUUAUUUGGGGCUUACAGUGGUGGUGGGAGGAAGCAGAGAGACACAGAAAGUGCCAACUCUUGCCCUUGUUUAACAUUUGGCAAAUUAGAAAAUGUAAUGACUAAGGAAACAAGCACAUUUCAAAUAAUAACUGAGGCAAGAUGAAGAAAGUACUAGCUAAGAAUGAUAGAGAGGUGAGUGUUGACGACACUUGCUAAGGCAUGUGCUAUACGGCUAUUAAAUCACAACCCUCACGAAACUUUAUGAGACGGGCACUGUUGUGCAAAUGAGAAAACAGCAGAAGUACUGGAAAAUGUAGUAACUUGUCUAAGAUGACUUGGCCAGUAAGUGGUAGAUAUGAUUUGAGGCACACUUGCCUGACUGCACGGCACAUGUUCCAAACCACUGUGCUCUGCUGUUACUGGGUAGAAGGGACCAUGAAAAUCUCUUUCUAGUUGUGAAGAUGAUGAAGGUCAUUUGGGAUAGGUACUUCCCAUUCGGGCUAAAAAAGGCAGAACCAGAUUGCUUGUAAGACCUUGUAAUUCUAUAUGUUUUCAGAUCCUUUCUUGUGUAUACAGGAAUCUAAAGAUGCACAUAUGUGGAGUUGGGCUAUUAUAGCACAUUUAUUUGCAUCAUAAUAUGCUAUCUAAUGUUCAGCAGCUUGAUUUUUUCCACUUCAUAUGUCAUAGAUGUCUUUCCAUAUCAGUACAUGUAGACAUUCAAUAUAUUUUUUUUUGACAGUCUCACUUUGUUCCCCAUGCUGGAGUGCAGUAGCAUGAAUACUAGAUGUUGCAUAAUAUUCCAUCACACACAAUUGUUAGUGGAUUUACUUUUUUCUCAUUACUUUGCUAGACUAAGCAAAUAAGAAUGAAGAAGGAUUUAAUGUCUGCUGCCAGCUCUGCUCCUCUACUAAAAAAAAAAAAAAAAAAAAAAGUUGGGAGGGAUGUUAAUUAGUUGACUUUCAGUUAACUGUAGGAAGAGUUAGGUUCAAUACCAUUUAAGAAAA